This 289-nucleotide long non-coding RNA is filed under the name Olea europaea (common olive). Its description in RNAcentral is "long non-coding RNA (OEUR_LNC001324)". Lineage: Eukaryota; Viridiplantae; Streptophyta; Magnoliopsida; Lamiales; Oleaceae. The record is from RNAcentral.
UCGAUUUUGCCAAGUCAUCAUUGUUUGGGCUAUAAUAAUACCAUCAAAUAAUGAUGGUGUGAUGUCACCUAAUCAUUACUUUUAAUUGAUGGGUUGACCAAGAGGUACUAAUGUCAAUGGCGCUAAGUGGCAUGGUCUAAUUGGGUAAGGUGGAAAGUGUAUUAGUUACGGCAAGUUUCUAGACUUCAUUAUGUCUCUGGAAAUGAUGACAGUCUUUAACUCGAGCUAAUCUCAUGGGUAUUACGUCCUACCUUAGUAAUAGAUCGUUAUUGAGAGGAUCUAUUCGUUU